GGAUGAGGGGUGCUUGCACCCCGAUUCAGCGGCGGACGGGUGAGUAAUGCCUAGGAAUCUUGCCUGUAAGACUGGGAUAACUUCGGGAAACCGAAGCUAAUACCGGAUAGGAUCUUCUCCCGGGAGAAAGUGGGGGCUCUUCGGACCUCACGCUAUCGGAUGAGCCUAGGUCGGAUUAGCUAGUUGGUGGGGUAAAGGCUCACCAAGGCGACGAUCCGUAACUGGUCUGAGAGGAUGAUCAGUCACACUGGAACUGAGACACGGUCCAGACUCCUACGGGAGGCAGCAGUGGGGAAUCUUCCGCAAUGGACGAAAGUCUGACGGAGCAACGCCGCGUGAGUGAUGAAGGCUUUCGGAUUGUAAAGCACUUUAAGUCGGGAGGAAGGGCUGUAGGUUAAUACCUUGCAGCCUUGACGUUACCGACAGAAUAAGCACCGGCUAACUUCGUGCCAGCAGCCGCGGUAAUACGAAGGGUGCAAGCGUUAAUCGGAAUUACUGGGCGUAAAGCGCGCGUAGGCGGUUUGGUAAGUUGGAUGUGAAAGCCCCGGGCUCAACCUGGGAACUGCAUCCAAAACUGCCUGACUAGAGUACGGUAGAGGGUGGUGGAAUUUCCUGUGUAGCGGUGAAAUGCGUAGAUAUAGGGAGGAACACCAGUGGGCGAAGGCGGCUUUUUGGUCUGUAACUGACGCUGAGGCGCGAAAGGCGUGGGGAGCAAACAGGAUUAGAUACCCUGGUAGUCCACGCCGUAAACGAUGUCGACUAGCCGUUGGGCUCCUUGAGAGCUUAGUGGCGCAGCUAACGCAUUAAGUCGACCGCCUGGGGAGUACGGCCGCAAGGUUAAAACUCAAAUGAAUUGACGGGGGCCCGCACAAGCGGUGGAGCAUGUGGUUUAAUUCGAAGCAACGCGAAGAACCUUACCUGGCCUUGACAUGCUGAGAAAACUCUAGAGAUAGAGCGUUCCCCUUCGGGGGACAGAGUGACAGGUGGUGCAUGGUUGUCGUCAGCUCGUGUCGUGAGAUGUUGGGUUAAGUCCCGUAACGAGCGCAACCCUUGUCCUUAGUUACCAGCACCUCGGGUGGGCACUCUAAGGAGACUGCCGGUGACAAACCGGAGGAAGGUGGGGAUGACGUCAAGUCAUCAUGGCCCUUACGGCCAGGGCUACACACGUGCUACAAUGGUCGGUACAGAGGGUUGCCAAGCCGCGAGGCGGAGCUAAUCCCAGAAAACCGAUCGUAGUCCGGAUCGCAGUCUGCAACUCGACUGCGUGAAGUCGGAAUCGCUAGUAAUCGCGAAUCAGAAUGUCGCGGUGAAUACGUUCCCGGGCCUUGUACACACCGCCCGUCACACCAUGGGAGUGGGUUGCUCCAGAAGUAGCUAGUCUAACCUUCGGGGGGACGGUUACCACGGAGUGAUUCAUGACUGGGGUGAAGUCGUAACAAGGUAGCCGUAGGGGAACCUGCGGCUGGAUCACCUCCUU
RNAcentral lists this ribosomal RNA (1477 nucleotides) under Azotobacter chroococcum. RNAcentral describes it as "bacterial SSU rRNA". It matches the Rfam family "Bacterial small subunit ribosomal RNA". Lineage: Bacteria; Pseudomonadati; Pseudomonadota; Gammaproteobacteria; Pseudomonadales; Pseudomonadaceae. The record is from RNAcentral.